AUUGAACGCUGGCGGCAUGCCUUACACAUGCAAGUCGAACGGUAACAGGUCUUCGGAUGCUGACGAGUGGCGAACGGGUGCGUAAUACAUCGGAACGUGCCCGAUCGUGGGGGAUAACGAAGCGAAAGCUUUGCUAAUACCGCAUACGAUCUACGGAUGAGAGCCGGGGACCGCAAGGCCUUGCGCGAACGGAGCGGCCGAUGGCAGAUUAGGUAGUUGGUGGGAUAAAAGCUUACCAAGCCGACGAUCUGUAGCUGGUCUGAGAGGACGACCAGCCACACUGGGACUGAGACACGGCCCAGACUCCUACGGGAGGCAGCAGUGGGGAAUUUUGGACAAUGGGCGAAAGCCUGAUCCAGCCAUGCCGCGUGCAGGAUGAAGGCCUUCGGGUUGUAAACUGCUUUUGUACGGAACGAAAAGACUCUGGUUAAUACCUGGGGUCCAUGACGGUACCGUAAGAAUAAGCACCGGCUAACUACGUG
RNAcentral lists this ribosomal RNA (482 nucleotides) under uncultured bacterium. RNAcentral describes it as "partial 16S ribosomal RNA". It matches the Rfam family "Bacterial small subunit ribosomal RNA", at positions 30 to 507 of the family's 1533-position model. The record is from RNAcentral.